Caerostris extrusa is the source of this 106-nucleotide non-coding RNA. The record is from the annotation of a GenBank genome assembly. Lineage: Eukaryota; Metazoa; Arthropoda; Arachnida; Araneae; Araneidae.
CCGGCCAUACUAUGCUGAAUAUACCGGUUCUCGUUAGAUCACUGAAGUCAAGCAUCAUUAAGGCGCUGUCAGUACUUUGGGGGGUGACCACCUUGAGAACACCGCG